Molecule: ribosomal RNA, 301 nt
Filed under: uncultured bacterium
Lineage: Bacteria
Description: partial 16S ribosomal RNA
Rfam family: Bacterial small subunit ribosomal RNA
Source: RNAcentral
CAGUCGCCACGGUAAUACGAAGGGGGCUAGCGUUGUUCGGAUUUACUGGGCGUAAAGCGCACGUAGGCGGACUUUUAAGUCAGGGGUGAAAUCCCGGGGCUCAACCCCGGAACUGCCUUUGAUACUGGAAGUCUUGAGUAUGGUAGAGGUGAGUGGAAUUCCGAGUGUAGAGGUGAAAUUCGUAGAUAUUCGGAGGAACACCAGUGGCGAAGGCGGCUCACUGGACCAUUACUGACGCUGAGGUGCGAAAGCGUGGGGAGCAAACAGGAUUAGAUACCCCUGUAGUCCCUGUCUCUUAUAC